GCUUCAGUUGUCGGAUUUUAAUAACUCAUGCAUGGAUGAAGAAUCACAAAUUUAUAAACCGACAAAAAGUUCAGUUGUAACAGGGCUAAUAGCCUCAGACACCUGUAAGGUGUAUUUGGUCAAUUGGGGGUCGGCGCCACCUCCCUCUGCGAGAUACAAAGAAUUCCGUCUGCAGUCAGGCUUUUAAAUCAUCCUUCGUGCCUUUACCGGCUAAACAGAGCCGGUGAUGCAGGUGUUCACGAGUACGAUUACGGUUUUGUAAACGUAAACAGGAUAUUGAAAAACAUUCGGGAAUUCUGAAAAUUCGUUAAAUGGCUUAUUGUACAUUCGAAGCCAGGAAUUUCAACGGUACGUUACCCUUUUGA
Tribolium castaneum (red flour beetle) is the source of this 365-nucleotide long non-coding RNA. RefSeq lists it as uncharacterized. The transcript is spliced from 3 exons. Lineage: Eukaryota; Metazoa; Arthropoda; Insecta; Coleoptera; Tenebrionidae. The record is from RefSeq and is a predicted model, not a curated record.